UUCCCUCUCUGUGCGUUCCAAAAAAAUUAGGGUUCUGUGUUGACAUGAAAUUAGGGAUUUUGUUUGAAAUAAGGGUUUCAAGAGGAUGUGAAUUCUGGUUUUUCUUUUUAAAAUUAGGGUUCCAAUAACCAAGCUUUGCUUUAUUUGGUAUACCGAAUCACAUCCUUUUUCCUCUACAUUCACGGUUGAUUUGAUUUUUUAUCUACCUGGUUAAUAUUAGGGGUUUUGAUUUUAUAAUUUACUGGAACCUUGGGAGCUGGGGCUAUUGGGAUCAAGGACGCGCGAUAGGAUUUGCUAUGGUUUUGAUCUUUUGCAAGUUCAUACUUUGGAUUUUUCAUUCAACUUGUGGGAAGUUUGUGCUUUUGACAUAAAUUGAAAAUUUCUGUUUCACUGCGAAGUGGGUUGUCGUUUAUCUAUGCUACUAGACUACAUGUCAAAUCGUAAUGUGGAAUGUGAAAAAGAUAUUGCAGUUGUCAGCUAUUGUAUAUUUUCGUUCAUUUUUAGCUUAGUUGUGCUUGUUUUGCCUUGCCCAUGUUGUCCGAUAAGCAUGUGCUUGAUAGACUUUGUGAGCUGCUUAUGGUUGAUGGAGUUGGGAAAUGAUGAAUUGGUGUCUUGAUUUGAAGUUAGUAAUUCAGAGGAAGUUGUCAAUUCGAGUUUACGCGCUAGAGAGCAAAGGGUUUUGUAUGGUUGUGAAGUUAUUGAAUUCAUUUUGGUUCCGUAUGGCUGAAACAUGGAUUUGUAGUUCAAGCUUCAAAUGUUGAAAGAGAAGAAGUGAAUUCGAGUAUGAAGGAGUUCGGCCGUGCCUUCACAUCUCAGGGGUAAUGAACUUGAUUACUACAAUUAUUGGGUUUGGGAUGAGUGCCAGUUUCAUUGAGUUUGUCUGUAUCAGAUUGCUCUGUGGAAGACUCAAAGGAGUUGAGUCUUGGCAAAUGAUUGAGAUCGACUCAGGGAUUGAUCUUAAGCAGUGUUGCAAUGGCAAAUAGUAGCGGCGCUAGCUGUAGCUGUUAGGGAACGCAAAGGAGACUUUGUCUUUGUUCCGUGUGUCCAUUGCAAAAUCAAUGGCAGAAGUUUUACUCAAAGUUGAGACACCUUCACCAUGACUUCAGAUUUGCUCAAGCAGUAUGGAAACUCUCUCCACUUUGUAUGGACUCUGCAAGGAAGGGGAGAGGAUUUUUGGGAUUGGUUCACAGUAGUGGUGAAGAAGAAUCCAGGAGAUCACUGGCGUGUGCAAUUAUUUGGAAGUGCAGAAAUGAUGCCCAUUUUUCUUACCGUUAGUGUGAUCAUGUGGUGGUAGUCAAUAUUGCGUGCAAGGACUCGACUAUUUUUUUGGAUGCAAACAAGCCCAUUGAACUGCCGAGGAUGGAUACGGGGUGGGAACCAGUGAAUGAGCCUUACAGAUGAAGUCCUCUAGUAGAUGGGAUUAUCAAAGAUUAAUUUUGAUGCAAGGGAGGAUGUCCAGAGUCAUCAAGGUGGUGUGGGUUUGGAAGGGCGAGAGGCUCUUUUUGGCAGCUAGAUGUUUGGCUCUGAAUGGUUUCUCUACUCCACUGGUUGCUAAAGCAAUAGCAGCUAGGGAAGGCCUAUUUUUGCAUUUGAGCUGGGGUUUACGUGUAUUCAGAUUGAAGGGGAUUCCUUAAGCUUUAUUCGAAUGGUUAAAGCUCUAUUCACUGUGAUGCUGAAGUUCUUGAGGAAGAUGUCCGGAGAUUGGCGUGUGACUUUUUGGUUGUGUGAAUUUAGUUUUAUUAAACAUAGUAGUAAUAGUGUUGCUCAUUGUUUAGCUUGUCGGGGUUAUGGUUGUUUAGGUACUUCCACCUGGGAAGCCUAUCUGCCGUUGUGGCUAUCCACCCCUUUGUUUAAGGAUGGAUACGCCCAUUGAUGUUUGGUUCACAUCUUUUUAUCAAUGAAUGGAUUAUCCGUUAGAAAAAAAUUAAAAAAAAUGCUCAAAACAACUAUACAGUUUUGAAAAAUUGUACUGAGCACGCGAUUCGUGCAAAGCACGUCG
Long non-coding RNA from Rhododendron vialii, 1999 nucleotides. RefSeq lists it as uncharacterized. The record is from RefSeq and is a predicted model, not a curated record. The transcript is spliced from 5 exons. NCBI's taxonomy places the organism in Eukaryota, Viridiplantae, Streptophyta, Magnoliopsida, Ericales, Ericaceae.